UUUCCUACGGGGGGCUGCAGUCGAGAAUCUUCGGCAAUGGGCGCAAGCCUGACCGAGCGACGCCGCGUGUGGGAUGAAGGCCCUUGGGUUGUAAACCACUGUCAGAGGGGAUGAAAUGCCAGCCAGUAAUCUGGUUGGUUUGACAUAGCCUCAGAGGAAGCACGGGCUAAGUUCGUGCCAGCAGCCGCGGUAAUACGAACUGUGCGAACGUUAUUCGGAAUCACUGGGCUUACAGGGUGCGUAGGCGGCUUGCUAAGUAGGGUGUGAAAGCCCCCGGCUUAACCGGGGAAUGGCGCCCUAAACUGGCGAGCUGGAGUGAGAUAGGGGUGUGCGGAACUUCCGGUGGAGCGGUGAAAUGUGUUGAUAUCGGAAGGAACGCCGGUGGCGAAAGCGGCACACUGGAUCUCAACUGACGCUGAGGCACGAAAGCCAGGGGAGCGAACGGGAUUAGAUACCCCGGUAGUC
RNAcentral lists this ribosomal RNA (465 nucleotides) under uncultured Planctomyces sp. Its description in RNAcentral is "bacterial SSU rRNA". It matches the Rfam family "Bacterial small subunit ribosomal RNA", at positions 335 to 795 of the family's 1533-position model. Lineage: Bacteria; Pseudomonadati; Planctomycetota; Planctomycetia; Planctomycetales; Planctomycetaceae. The record is from RNAcentral.